Molecule: transfer RNA, 77 nt
Filed under: Defluviitoga tunisiensis
Lineage: Bacteria; Thermotogati; Thermotogota; Thermotogae; Petrotogales; Petrotogaceae
Also listed under: 1 other name
Description: tRNA-Ile
Rfam family: tRNA
About the family: Transfer RNA (tRNA) molecules are approximately 80 nucleotides in length. Their secondary structure includes four short double-helical elements and three loops (D, anti-codon, and T loops).
Source: RNAcentral
GGGCUAGUAGCUCAGUUGGUGAGAGCGCACGCCUGAUAAGCGUGAGGUCGGAGGUUCAAAUCCUCCCUAGCCCACCA